Molecule: ribosomal RNA, 468 nt
Filed under: uncultured bacterium
Lineage: Bacteria
Description: partial 16S ribosomal RNA
Rfam family: Bacterial small subunit ribosomal RNA
Source: RNAcentral
GACGAACGCUGGCGGCGUGCUUAACACAUGCAAGUCGAACGGAAAGGCUCCAGCUUGCUGGAGUACUCGAGUGGCGAACGGGUGAGUAACACGUGGGUGAUCUGCCCUGCACUUCGGGAUAAGCCUGGGAAACUGGGUCUAAUACCGGAUAGGACAGCACUUUGGUGUGUGUGGUGGAAAGGUUUUUCUGGUGUGGGAUGAGCUCGCGGCCUAUCAGUUUGUUGGUGGGGUAAUGGCCUACCAAGACGGCGACGGGUAGCCGGCCUGAGAGGGUGGACGGUCACAUUGGGACUGAGAUACGGCCCAGACUCCUACGGGAGGCAGCAGUGGGGAAUAUUGCACAAUGGGGGAAACCCUGAUGCAGCGACGCCGCGUGGGGGAUGAAGGCCUUCGGGUUGUAAACUCCUUUCGCUAGGGACGAAGCUUUUUGUGACGGUACCUGGAGAAGAAGCACCGGCUAACUACGUG